AUAUAUAUAUAAAAAAUUCUAAAACUCCUUUUGCUAAGAAAUAACAUAAUGUUUGUAAGAGAAUUCUUCAAACUUCUUUUGCUAUGAAAUAACGAUCUUGUAAAAUAUUUGGCACCCUGUGGCUUGAGAUAGAAAUAGCACAGAAGAAAGUUUCUUGAAGUAUCUUAAUGUUUGCGCAUCAAGUAUGGCAUAAAUGUGUUUGCAUUAAAAACAUGAUUAUUAAAUCACAGUCCAGCUCCAUUAAUCCAUGGAGAUAUAAAAUAUUCACAAUUCUCUAUUAAUAAAAUUUAUUAUGAAUUUUUCCAUUGCUUUGAAUGGACCCAGAGUGUGCACUUAAUCCUUUUCUCACUUGUAUGGCUGGGUGGGUUAGUAACAAUAACCAAGAGGAGAGGAAAUUAAGGGCCAAGACUUGUUCACACAGGCGAAGUAGUGUGAGUGAACUAGGAUGUACAGUACAGUACCUCUGGAAAAGGCAGCCCUGCCCUCUUGCUCCUCCACUUCUCCCUGCCCUGUGCCAACAUCAACAAGUGCAUGGCCACAUGCUAAAGUGGAUCCAGAAACUAAUCUGAGUUGAAAGCAAACUGUCAAAUAAGAAAAGAGGCUUAUUUGGUUUUGGUUAGCAUAGUGACAGUGUUAGGCUAUUAUUGGCACGGAGGGAAAAUGAGGAUUCUUGCCCUUAGACACUGUUUUGAGGUGUCCCUACCCCUUGAUAGUAGGGAAAGUCUGGGCAUCAUAACUGGGUCAUUCUAGUUAGUGUUUUACCUCCCUUUUAUUUUCUUCCAAGUUCCUGCAACAUGUGCUGAAGACACGGCAGAGCACUUGGCUUUCAAAUUGUCACAAGGAAGGAGAGGUCAAGCUUGUUGGGAAAUUUCAAUGCGAGACAGAGCAAUCAGACAACAAACAAAAGCAGAAGUUUGGUUGUCAUGGAUGUAUUUUUAAUGCACGUUCCAGGAUCCUUGCUCGUCUGAAGGUGUGCAGGUGUGUAAGCAUGACUGUAACUUAUAUAACACAGGAGCUAUGUAGGCCCAAGGACUUUGCUUUUGGCAAAAGAAAAAAAAUCAACUCUCUCAGUUAGCAGUGUACAAUUUAGGCACAGAAAAUUCAUAGCAGAUGUUCUUUGCAAAGAUUUGGUUUGUUGGAUGAAGUAUAACUUUUGAAUACGUAUUUUUACAAAAUGCCCACCAGCACCUUCCCAAGGCAUUUGUUAACUGCUUGGGUAAAAAAGAACCCAGAUAUAUGUCAUAUAACUUCUUGUGCUUCUUUAAACAAUCUUAGUUCUAGGGCCUAGCUACUAAGAUGUUAGUUCUGAAUGAAACUCUCAGUCAGAAGUGAGGCACAUGUUUCUAAACUUCUCUGACUAUAACUGUAGUCAAUUUCUUAAUGAAACAGUAUUUUCAUAAAGUUUCAACAGUAUGUUGCAAAUGUAUGGAGUUUUUAUAUUGGAUAAUUUAUUGAAAAAAAAUUAUCUGAAAAAUGGAAAUAUUAUUUCCAGCUUGCUGAAGAAAAUUACGUAAAUCUUGCAGUAAAUAGCAUUAUGGAAACAUGGAAAAGAUUAUCUGUGGAAGUUCCAAACAUUUAAAAAUAUGAAGUAUAUGUUCUUAUCUAACAAAUGGGAUGCAUGAGAGACAAAGAGCUGAUAUGGCUGAGGUAAGGUCAUUUUUCAUAUGCCAUUUGAAGCCUGUGGGAAGCAAGACAUAAAUUGAAGGGGUACAUAUUUUAUUUUUUUGGAAUUCAGAAACCCAUUGACUUGAAGGUGUCCAAGUCCUUAUAAGACAUUUUAGAUCAAUUGAAAAACUAUUUAAUGGAUAUCUAUAAGAUAUGUUGCAUACUCUUGGGAAAUUUUUAAACUCCUUGGGAAGACAGAAUUUCCAGACACCAUUAGGAAACAGAUAGAAGUGACCAAUCCAUUAAUAGUACAGUCUAGCAAACUAUUCUUGUUUUCUGACUUGAGGCUUUGUCUUGUGGUCCUAAGCAAAGUGUACAUUCUCGCUUCUGUUAAUGUGAAAAUAGGAUGAAGCUUAGCACUUCCCAUCCUAUUUUUUUCUUUUUUUUUUCUUUUUUAAAAUCUUUUCAGAAUAGACUACUGCCCCUAAUUAUAACUGUCUGGUACCAGUUUGGAUUUUUUAGCAUGUCCCUUCUUUUACUUAAGGCUAGAUAUAUCUUAUAUGCCUUUUAUCAGGUUGUAAGCCCUGGUUUGAUGUGUCAGAUGCUCAGGGAUAUCUAAAAUUAUGCCAUAUGCCUACAUUCAAGCACUUAAUUCUUUUUGAUGUAUUUGGUGAUCUAGGACUAGAAGGAAAUUGUUAAUCAUAGCUCUGCAGAAACUGAAGACUUGGUCUUUGUAACAAUGGUCAGCAUUUUGAACCGUGUUUUCUAAAGCCCAAUAGUAGGAAUUGAAAGACACCAAAGAGAAUUUAACAGUCCUUCUUGUGUUUUGAGCUUAAGUUUUGAGUGGAACAGAACACAAACUAGAAAUGCAGUUAAAAAAAAAGCCAAACAUUUUUUCUCUAAUCUGACUGUUAAUAAAAAAGAAAAAAAGGAAGUCAUUUUCUUCCCUAGAAUCAAUAAUCUAUUAUUCUGAUGAAAAUUGUAUUCAGCUACCAGCCAGUUGCAAUAAUUGCGGAAUCUGCUAUGUAGUUUUCUACUAAUUAGUGAAUAAUACUCCAUAAAAGCAAUCGCGUGUGAACUCUUUCCUUUAAAAACAUAACCCUUGGGAGUUGACUUCCUUACUCUCCUUUGAAAAUUCCAUCCCUGGUAUUUAUUAUUAUAUUAGUAAGCAGCUAUUAUUCAGAAUUUGUUACUGGUUAAUUGCAUUAAUUGGAGAAGGCAGAUAGGGAGGAAGCCUCAUGACUGAUUAAUUACAGUAAAUAGUAUGCAUGUAUAGUUAAUGAUGGGGAUGCAGUGACUUCUGCAAGAAACUCCACUUAGUAGAUACAGAGGGUCCAGAAAUAGGUAUUUUCUUCUUCUGAAGACACAUACCCUGUUGGAAGAACUUCUCAUUUUUCACAUGGUUGCACUUGCAUUUUGUCUGAGGCUGUUCACUGUGAAAUCAUAGAAUCAUAGAAUGGUUUGGGUUGGAAAGGACCUUUGCAGAUAAUCUUAUGCCUCCUUCUCUGCCAAGGGCAGGGACGGCUUCCACAAAAUCAAGUUGCCCAGAGCCCCACCCAUUGUGGCUUUGAACACCUCCAGGGAUGGGUCAAUCCACAGCUUCUCUGGGCAACUUGUUCCAGUGCCUCUCCACACUCUGAGUAAGGAAUUUCUUCCUGAUGUCUAAUCUAAAUCUGUCCUCGUUGAGUUUAAGAUUGUUACCCCCCCUCACUAUCGCUACACUCCCUAAUAAAGAAUUCUUCCCCAUCUUUCAUGUAGGUUCUCUUUAAGUACUGGAAGGUUAGUAUAAGGUCUCCUGAGAGCCUUCUCUAGCAUGAACAACUCCAAUUCUCUCAGUCUGUCUUCAUUUAAGAGGCACUCUAGCCCUGUGAUAAUCUCUGUAUCUCUGUUCUGGAAGUGCUCAAACAGCUCCAUAUUUUUCUUGUGAGAAGAAAGAUCUGGGGUCCCAGCACUGCUCGUGGGUUCUCACAUAGAUUGUGAAUCCUGUCCCUCAAGCUGCUGCUCAUGCUUCUUUGGAUGCAGUCUAGAAUAGCACUGGCUUUCUAGGCUAUAAGUAUAUGUUGCCAGUCAUAUCCAAUUUUUCAUCUACCAACACCUCCAAGUCCCUCUCCUCAAGGUUACUCUCAAUCUUUCUAUUGCUGAGCAUGUGUUCAUGAUUGAGAUUGCCCCAACCCAUGUGUAGGACCUUGCACUUGGCCUCAGUGAACACCCUGAUAUUUGCUUGGACCUGCUCUCAAGGCUGUCCUGGGCCCUCUGGAUGGCAUCCCUUCCCUCCAUGUGAUGAUAACUCCACAGUCUUGCUGAGGAUAUAGUCAGUCUCACUGUCUAUGUCACUGACAAAGAUGUUAAAUAAUAUGCAUCUCAGUAUGGACCUCACUGGUCUGUCUGGACAUCAAACUGUUAAAAAAAAAAAAAAGCCCUACAUGACUGGGACAACAUGGCUUAUAAAUCCAUCAUUGCUCUGAGCUUGUCACAACAACUGAAAAUAUCAGACUUAUACUCAGAAUCUUGUUAGGUACAGAAUGAAACAGCAGUGUGUAUAUGACACAGACAUUUAUUGGAGUAAUGGCUUUUCUCUCCCUAAACAAAUACAAAUGCUUAGAACUACAAGGAAUUGAAGUAUGGCAAAUAAAUUCAGCCUGUUCAGGAGAACUUGAAAUGACUUAAAAAAAGGCUGCUGAGUUGCAAAUGACACAACAAAUGGGUGCAAGUUCACAUUACACACUUUCUGAAUAUGCUUCAAUGUUGUUGUUCCAAAUGCCUGCUUAGAUGUUUUUUUUGAUUGUUCUAGGCAAUUUAUCUUGGCUUAAGACUGUGAUCUAAGUGGAAAUGAUAAAAGAGACAUUGUCACAAUGGAGUCAGUGGCUCUGAGUCAUACCUCCUACAUAAUCAUUUCUCUCUUUUACUGGACCUGCUAAUAUUAAGGAUGCUUUUGAGUGUCUCUUCUCUGUUACUGAGAUAUUUACUGUGCCCUGUGGUAAGCAUUUUCAUGGAACAGAGAGUCUGAGUAAAUGGUCUCUCUAAAGGACUGAACUGUGGUGACUGGAGAUAACAUAUAAGUAAAGUAAUUUCUAUCUGCCAAUUGAAGUAUUCUUGCAACCC
Long non-coding RNA from Gallus gallus (chicken), 4707 nucleotides. NCBI's taxonomy places the organism in Eukaryota, Metazoa, Chordata, Aves, Galliformes, Phasianidae. The record is from Ensembl.